GCAUUCCCCUAGUAGCGGCGAGCGAAGCGGGAAGAGCUCAAAUUUAUAAUCUGGCACCUUCGGUGUCCGAGUAGUAUCUCUAGAAGUGUUUUCCGUGUUGGACCGCACACAAGUCUGUUGGAAUACAGCGGCAUAGUGGUGAGACCCCCGUAUAUGGUGCGGACGCCCAACGCUUUGUGAUACACUUUCGAAGAGUCGAGUUGUUUGGGAAUGCAGCUCAAAUUGGGUGGUAAAUUCCAUCUAAAGCUAAAUAUUGGCGAGAGACCGAUAGCGAACAAGUACCGUGAGGGAAAGAUGAAAAGCACUUUGGAAAGAGAGUUAACAGUACGUGAAAUUGUUGGAAGGGAAACGCUUGAAGUCAGACUUGCUUGCCGAGCAAUCGGUUUGCAGGCCAGCAUCAGUUUUCCGGGGUGGAUAAUGGUAGAGAGAAGGUAGCAGUUUCGGCUGUGUUAUAGCUCUUUGCUGGAUACACCUUGGGGGACUGAGGAACGCAGUGUGCCUUACGGCGGAUUUCUCGAGAUCUUCACACUUAGGAUGCUGGUGGAAUGGCUUUAAACGACCCG
RNAcentral lists this ribosomal RNA (563 nucleotides) under Rhodotorula taiwanensis. Its description in RNAcentral is "partial large subunit ribosomal RNA". It matches the Rfam family "Eukaryotic large subunit ribosomal RNA", at positions 72 to 651 of the family's 3401-position model. The record is from RNAcentral. Lineage: Eukaryota; Fungi; Basidiomycota; Microbotryomycetes; Sporidiobolales; Sporidiobolaceae.